RNAcentral lists this small RNA (30 nucleotides) under Bombyx mori (domestic silkworm). RNAcentral describes it as "ovarian small RNA-4580". Lineage: Eukaryota; Metazoa; Arthropoda; Insecta; Lepidoptera; Bombycidae. The record is from RNAcentral.
AGUGCUCAUAAUGAGUGCCCCCAUGGGACU